UCUAAACAAAAAAAGGUAAUACCUUUAGGGGAACCUUCGCUUACUGACGGCCUUUUUUCUAAUCAAAGGAACUUGUUAAGUAAUCGAAAUUACACGUUAAAUCUCACUCUCCUCAUAAGUUUUUAUACCGUCGUCUUAAGAGGAUACUAUCUUUUUUCCUCAAAACUAAUACCCUAAACAAGUCAGAUCAAGGUGAAGCCUACAGGAAAGAUUUUAAUGAGUUAUUCAUAAAAAUAAUUUAUGGACCUUAAUGUAACCUUAUAAAUAAAUUAAGAUUUGAAAGUACAUCCUUUAUUAAUAAUUCUUAUGGAGUUAGUAAAAAAAGGUGU
Molecule: ribosomal RNA, 329 nt
Filed under: Teyl sp. MYG345
Lineage: Eukaryota; Metazoa; Arthropoda; Arachnida; Araneae; Anamidae
Description: partial 12S ribosomal RNA
Source: RNAcentral